RNAcentral lists this unclassified non-coding RNA (1254 nucleotides) under Hevea brasiliensis (rubber tree). Lineage: Eukaryota; Viridiplantae; Streptophyta; Magnoliopsida; Malpighiales; Euphorbiaceae. The record is from RNAcentral.
GUCACUGUAACAUCUAUAAUGGGUCUAGUUUAACCAGGUUGAAUCAAGACUGUUCAAGGCAACAAUUGGACUCUCCACAAGCUAAUUGUGAACAUGAACAGGAAUCAGGUAUUCCAUGGCUGGUAGAUGUACUAUUCCUGUACAAAAAAUGGUAAGGCACUAGUUAUCUUAACACAUUUUCUGGGUCGUCUAUGGCGCCAAUUCCCAUGACAACCUAAAAGUUAUCCUUGGCACGGCGAAUGGCUCCCAAGGCUUCUCCAUCAUCUGCAGUGGCUGGAAUGUUCAGCAACUUCCGGAUUUCUGUACUUGAAGUUCGAAGAAAUGGAUUACAUAGCUUCUCUGCUUUCAGGGUUGUUGGAAUUGUUGGCAAGCCCUUCCUGCGAAGAUUGGCAACAUGUGCAGCAUAUGACUGCAAUUCUUCAUUUCCAGGUUCUAUAGAAAGUGCAAACUUCGAAUUACUCAAUGUAUACUCGUGGCCGCAGUAGACAUUUGUAUCGUCUGGUAAGGAUGUGAUUUUCCCCAGUGAAGAGAGCAUCUGCUCGGGAGUUCCUUCAAAAAGUUUACCACAAGACAAGCUGAACAGUGUGUCUCCUGUGAAAACUGCCUUAGAUCUCGGGAAGUAAAAACUGAUAUGCCCUCGUGUAUGACCAGGAGUCUCCAUGACAAACACCUCAUGGCCUGCAAACAUCCAUUGGUCUCCAUCAUUGAGGGCUAUGUCAAUACCAGGUAUUCUAUCACUGUCUACUCCAGAUCCAAUCACCUUUGCCCCAUACCUUGCUUUUAACUCCAUGUUGCCACCAGUGUGAUCAUGGUGAUGAUGUGUGUUCAAAAUGUAAGUCAAAUUACGGUUGUUUCUACUCAGUGCAUCUAUAACCGGAACAGCUUCAGAAGGAUCCACAACACCAACUGUUCCAGUAUCCACGUCAUGCAAUAGAUAUGCAUAAUUAUCCUGGAGACAUGGUACCAGCUCAAUUUGCAAAGAUGAAGACGUACUGGUAAUGCUACAGAGUUUAGAAACUCGAAGUGAUCGACUAACACCACGUACAGUCUUGAACGGCAUUGAAAGGAGCUGCAUAAACCCAUACAAUAGAUUCUUCCUAAGAGAAAGUUGCCUCAUGCCAGGCCAUACACAAACCCCCGUCCGAGACUUAGAACAAGGGAAGGAAGCCAUGGCGGAAGGUGCAAUUUUAGAGAAAGUUCGCAUAAUUUAGCAUUUGCAGUUUUGUUUGUAAAAAAGAGGUGUGUAGAGGACGG